UACAGAGGGUGCAAGCGUUAAUCGGAAUUACUGGGCGUAAAGCGUGCGUAGGCGGUUACAUAAGUCGGGUGUGAAAGCCCCGGGCUCAACCUGGGAAUUGCAUUCGAGACUGCGUAGCUAGGGUGCGGAAGAGGGAAGCGGAAUUUCCGGUGUAGCGGUGAAAUGCGUAGAUAUCGGAAGGAACACCAGGGGCGAAAGCGGCUUCCUGGUCCAGCACCGUCGUUCAGGCCCGAAAGCGUGGGGAGCAAACAGG
RNAcentral lists this ribosomal RNA (253 nucleotides) under uncultured bacterium. Its description in RNAcentral is "partial 16S ribosomal RNA". It matches the Rfam family "Bacterial small subunit ribosomal RNA", at positions 524 to 776 of the family's 1533-position model. The record is from RNAcentral.